This 317-nucleotide ribosomal RNA is filed under the name uncultured bacterium. RNAcentral's name for it is "bacterial SSU rRNA". It matches the Rfam family "Bacterial small subunit ribosomal RNA", at positions 28 to 334 of the family's 1533-position model. The record is from RNAcentral.
GAUGAACGCUAGCUACAGGCUUAACACAUGCAAGUCGAGGGGAAACGAUAUUGGAAGCUUGCUUCCGAUAGGCGUCGACCGGCGCACGGGUGAGUAACGCGUAUCCAACCUGCCCAUCACUUGGGAAUAACCUUGCGAAAGUAAGACUAAUACCCAAUGAUAUCUCUAGAAGACAUCUGAAAGGGAUUAAAGAUUUAUCGGUGAUGGAUGGGGAUGCGUCUGAUUAGCUAGUUGGUGAGGUAACGGCUCACCAAGGCGACGAUCAGUAGCCGGUCUGAGAGGAUGGACGGCCACAUUGGGACUGAGACACGGCCCAA